UACGGAGGGUGCAAGCGUUAAUCGGAAUUACUGGGCGUAAAGCGUGCGCAGGCGGUUUUGUAAGUCUGAUGUGAAAGCCCCGGGCUCAACCUGGGAAUUGCGAUGGAGACUGCAAGGCUUGAAUCUGGCAGAGGGGGGUAGAAUUCCACGUGUAGCAGUGAAAUGCGUAGAGAUGUGGAGGAACACCGAUGGCGAAGGCAGCCCCCUGGGUCAAGAUUGACGCUCAUGCACGAAAGCGUGGGGAGCAAACAGG
RNAcentral lists this ribosomal RNA (253 nucleotides) under uncultured bacterium. RNAcentral's name for it is "partial 16S ribosomal RNA". It matches the Rfam family "Bacterial small subunit ribosomal RNA", at positions 524 to 776 of the family's 1533-position model. The record is from RNAcentral.